This is a long non-coding RNA of Wyeomyia smithii (pitcher-plant mosquito), 781 nucleotides long. RefSeq lists it as uncharacterized. The record is from RefSeq and is a predicted model, not a curated record. The transcript is spliced from 3 exons. Lineage: Eukaryota; Metazoa; Arthropoda; Insecta; Diptera; Culicidae.
UUUACAUUUUUUGUGCAGUUUGGGUUGUAUUUUGUAGGCAGUUUAUUCUGCUUAAUUCUGGUAAAUAUGUUAUAAUUGAACGUGUCGUGAGGUGAAAGCCGACAGAUUUGAAUUGUGAUUCGGCAGGAGUGAUAGUUUUUCCUUAUAUAGGCGACUAAUAUGCAUGGCCGAUAAGAAAAUCAUCCUGGUCUACAAGCGGCCUGAAUAGCAGAACAAACAGGUCGAACCUACAGACGACGACAUUCUUCAUCUAGAUUCAGGUCCAGAUCGCAAUCUCGACGUCGCACAACGUAUGGCAAAGAUGGGUCAAAUGUUAGCGAUGAUGUGAAUGAUCUCAUGAUGGCUUGGUUGCUGCUGUUGCUACUCGAAAAGCCACGCAAAUGGCAAGUACAAACAGCGCGGAACAACAGGACAAAAAAGAUGACAUUACUGCACAGUUAUUCUUGGAAAGUGCUUUAAGACAUCCUGGAUCAGGCCAGAACUGAAGCUGAUGCCGAUAUUCUUGCGAACUUGUGUGCAGCUGGUGUCACGGCCGGUGGUAGUCUGGCUGUCUCUACCACAAAAAGGGCCUAGUGAACGAAGUUGUGUCCUAGUGAAUUGAUGUGUGAUUGUAGCGAAUAGGGCUUUAUUACAGAAGAGUCGACUCGACUCGCCCAUGUAUUUCAAAUUAGGCGAGUUGCUCUUAGUAGUUACUGUAAUAUGGCCCUAUGAUGUGAGAAUUCUCGUCAUGUACUUUGUGAGUAGAAGAUGAUGAAAAAUAAAAUACAGUUGCUAAACCAUA